AUGAGUCUGACGUUGCCGCUUCUCAGGCACAUAACAAACAAUUUCUCCGAUGAAUCUGUAAUUGGUUCAGGUGGAUUUUCGACAGUUUACCUGGGGGUGCUUCCAAGUGGGUUACAUAUUGCUGUAAAGAAGAUUGCCAAUAAGCAUACUAUUGAUGAAAGUGCAUUUCAAAAUGAAGUGUUUAUCACAAUGAAGGUUGCCCACAAGAACACAUUGCGAUUCAUAGGCUACUGUAGUCACACGGAAGCUAAACACUUCGAAGUCAACGGACAACAUGUUUUUGCAGAGGACAGGGAAAGGUUGAUCUGUGUGGAGUAUGUGCCUAAUGGAACCCUUGAUACACGUGUCGGUGAGUAUGGUGAACUUGACUGGAACCAGCGUUAUCAAAUUCUAAAAGGAAUUUGUCAGGGUCUAUGUCAUCUCCAUGAGACAUUGCAUGUUGUUCACGGAGAUAUCAAACCAAGCAAUAUAUUAAUAGGGGAUAACCACGUGCCAAAAUUUUUUGACUUCGGUAUGUCCCGGUCCUUUGAUGAUGGAGAAACUUCAGGUUACACCAAAGACGUCAAGGGAACUAUAGGAUAUAUGGCUCCAGAGAUGAUUGAAGGUCAUUGGUCAACUAAGUCUGACAUAUACAGCUUGGGCAUUAUGAUCACAGAGUUAUUGACUGGGAAGAAAGGGUGCGGGCCAAGUGUUGAGCAAGGUACUUAA
Molecule: ribosomal RNA, 708 nt
Filed under: Triticum aestivum (bread wheat)
Lineage: Eukaryota; Viridiplantae; Streptophyta; Magnoliopsida; Poales; Poaceae
Description: partial small subunit ribosomal RNA
Source: RNAcentral